Molecule: microRNA precursor, 80 nt
Filed under: Podarcis lilfordi (Lilford's wall lizard)
Lineage: Eukaryota; Metazoa; Chordata; Lepidosauria; Squamata; Lacertidae
Source: RNAcentral
UAUUUGUGUGUGUGUGUGUGUGUGUGUGUGUGCGUGUGCGCGCGCGUGCACACCCACACAUACACCCACACACCAAUUAC